Molecule: ribosomal RNA, 217 nt
Filed under: Bairdiella chrysoura (silver perch)
Lineage: Eukaryota; Metazoa; Chordata; Actinopteri; Sciaenidae
Description: partial small subunit ribosomal RNA
Rfam family: Bacterial small subunit ribosomal RNA
Source: RNAcentral
GUCGGUAAAACUCGUGCCAGCCGCCGCGGUUAUACGAGAGGCCCAAGUUGAUAGUCAACGGCGUAAAGUGUGGUUAGAAAGAACUUAAUACUAAAGCCGAACGCCUUCAAGGCUGUUAUACGCACACCGAAGGUGAGAAGCCCACCCACGAAAGUGGCUUUAUAACUUUGAAUCCACGAAAGCUAUGAAACAAACUGGGAUUAGAUACCCCACUAUG